This 460-nucleotide ribosomal RNA is filed under the name uncultured bacterium. RNAcentral describes it as "partial 16S ribosomal RNA". It matches the Rfam family "Bacterial small subunit ribosomal RNA", at positions 338 to 795 of the family's 1533-position model. The record is from RNAcentral.
CCUACGGGAGGCAGCAGUGAGGAAUAUUGGUCAAUGGGCGCUAGCCUGAACCAGCCACGUAGCGUGAAGGAUGACUGCCCUAUGGGUUGUAAACUUCUUUUAUAUGGGAAUAAAGUGCAGUAUGUAUACUGCUUUGAAUGUACCUUAUGAAUAAGGAUCGGCUAACUCCGUGCCAGCAGCCGCGGUCAUACGGAGGGUCCGAGCGUUAUCCGGCUUUAUUGGGGUUAAAGGGAGCGUCGGGGGGUUGUUAAGUCAGUUGUGAAAGUUGGCGGCUCAAACGUAAAAUUGCAUUUGAUACUGGCAGCAUUGAGUACAGGAGAGGUAGGCGGAAUUCGUGGUGUAGCGGUGAAAUGCGUAGAUAUCACGAAGAACUCCGAUUGCGAAGGCAGCCUGCUGGACUGUAACUGACGCUGAUGCUCGAAAGUGUGGGUAUCAAACAGGAUUAGAUACCCCUGUAGUC